ACGAUACUAGUCCCUUCUUCAAGAUACAUUAGUCAAAUAGUCAGAUCCUAGUCUCAGAGAAUUCAUAGUCUCAGAACAAACAAAACGUAUGGUCACUACUUACAUAACAUAAUAAUCAUUCAACCAUGAUUUUACAAGAUGAUAUUUAUGAUUAAACUCUUGGGUCUGACCCAUGCUGCACUUUCUCAAUAGCUCCUUUUUCAAGAUGCCGAGACGAUCGGACACACGAGAUGGCCGACAGAUCGAAGGCAUGUCAACAAAUCCAGCCACUUGCAUGCCACUUGCAUCCAAUAUACGCCCGCGACACCCAAACAAUCGAAGGCGCAAAGAAACGUCCACCAAAUUGAAGACACAACAUCAACACCAUCAACCUCAGGUAAUAUCCACAUGCAAUUCCUCACAUGUGUGUCAGCAUUUUGAUCUCAGCUCAACCUUCCUUCUAAUAUUCUAUGUCAAAACUCUUCUGAUACUAAAUUAUAAACCAUGUUUUUAAUGCAUCCUGACACUACCAUGACACCUAUUGAACAAUUAUUGAUUUAUAGUGCCAUCAUACCAGAUAAAUGUACUGUAUGUGACACCUUAUUAGUCUCUUCAUCAUAUCUCCAAAUGCACUUUCAUGUCUGCAAUGGCAAAACAUUAUUAAGUACUCCCUCUGUAACUUAAUAUAAGACGUUUUUUGAUAGUGUCAAAAAAACGUCUCAUUAAGUUAUGGAGGGAGUACAAUAUAAAUCAUAGUACAUGAUACUAUAUUAAGAAAACUCUAUACGUCACUGAGAAAAUCACAUUUGCAGAGAUGACAGUCCAGCAUACGUCAGCCCCAGCAGCUCAUCAUACAAAAAGAAAGGAAGAACAACCUCUAAACUCAAAGAGCACAAAGCGGACAAGGACUGGAGAGGGAAGAAGAAAUACGAACACAGAGGCUCCUAAACGAUUGAGAAAGGAUAGUGCUGAAGAAGAUAAGGAAUUGAAGUGUGCAAGAAGCGGAAGCAACAAAAACAACAUUAGGAUCAAUGUUGGAGACAACAACAGAACAAAUUCAAACAAAGGCAUGGAACUUCGGAAGGUAUGGAACUUCGGAAGGCCAACAUACAAAUGCCAGUAUUGCAAAGCAUUGCUAUGGUGUGAAGAAAGAUUAAAUUCAAACAAAGGAACAAAGACACCCUCUUUUGGAAUAUGCUGCAAACAGGGAAAAAUCGAUCUGCCACCACUAAGAGAGCCUCCACCAUACCUCAGAAACCUCUUAAGAAGUGAAGGACAGGAUUCAGUGAACUUCAAAGAAAAUAUAAGGUCAUACAACUCAAUGUUUUCAUUCACAUCCAUGGGAGGAGUUGUGGACAAGGAAAUAAACACUCGCAAAGGACCUUAUGUUUUUCGUUUGCAUGGACAGAACUACCACCACAUCGGAACUCUUUUACCUGAAGGUACAAACAAACCUCGGUUUGCACAGCUGUACAUCUAUAAUACCGAAAAUGAGGUGGCAAACAGGAUAAGUGCGUCAAGAUGCAAUGAUAAUAAAUCAACAGUGGACCCCAACAUUGUCAAAGAAUUGCAAAUAAUGCUCGACGACAACAACAUCCUCGCAAAAACAUUCAGAAUGGCAAGAGAUAGAUUCCAAGAAGGAGACUACCAUGAUUACACACUUCGGAUACUAGGAAAAAGGAACGGAACACACAACCUUCCAUCCGCAUCUGAAGUUGCAGCAUUGGUAGUAAGAGAUCCAACUGGAGAGAGUGAAGGACGUGACAUUGUUGUUGAGUACAAAAAUAUGGUGCCACAAAGGAUAUCAGAGAUCCACCCGAAAUUCAUGUCCAUGCAAUAUCCGUUGUUGUUCCCAUAUGGAGAAGAUGGUUUUAAACUCGAGAUACCGUACAAGAAAACAAAAGGAGCUAAAAACAGCAGGAAAUACGUAACGUUGUUGGACUACUAUGCAUUCUACCUACAGCAACGUCCAGACCAAGGAAUGUUAUUGCUCAAGUCUGGGCAUCUGUCACUGCAAUUUUGGGUGGAUGUAUACACAUGUAUCGAGCAAAAUAGACUAAACUGGAUCCGACACAAUCAAGGAAAGCUAAGAACUGAACUUUACAGUGGAUUGCAGCAUGCAAUUAAGCGAGGGGACACAAGAACAGAGCAGGUUGGAAAGAGGAUAAUUGUGCCUUCAUCUUUUACAGGUGGUAGAAGAAACAAGGCACAAUACUUGCAAGAUGCAUUCGCAAUAUGUCGUUGGGCUGGAUACCCAGACCUGUUUAUAACAUUCACAUGCAAUGCAAAGUGGCCUGAGAUCCAAUACAUGCUAGAUGAAGCGGGAGGUGACCAAAAGCCAGCCGAUCGGCCAGAUAUUUUGGACAGAGUAUUUAUGAUAAAACUAAAGGAGCUAACGAGAGACAUAAAAGAAAAGAAAUACUUUGGAGAAACACUUGCAAGUAAGUUCCAUCGACUAUCAAUAUUUACUCUUUCAUGCGUCAUCUUAUAGUCAGACAGAUUCUUACCCUUUAGUAAGAUGCAUUUCAAUUUUACCUAAAGUUAACAAACUAUUAUUAACCAACUGCAGUUAUCUACACAAUAGAAUUCCAGAGGAGAGGACUCCCGCAUGCCCACAUACUAAUAUUUCUGAAGGACAAAGACAAGUACCCAGAACCAUCGCAGAUCGAUAAAAUAAUAAGCGCUGAGAUCCCAAACAAGGACGAGGAUCCUGAGGCAUUUGGAGCUGUCGAGAACUUCAUGAUGCAUCGCCCAUGUGGAGAGGCUAAGCAAAACUCACCAUGCAUGGUGGGCCAUAGAUGCAGCAAGCAUUUCCCAAAAAGAUACAAUGUUAGUACUACCAUCGAUGAGGACGGGUUUCCAGUAUAUAAAAGGAAGGACGACGGAAGGCAAAUCAAAAAGGGAGUAGUCAUGCUCGACAACAGAUUUGUCGUGCCAUACAACCGAAAUCUUCUGGUCAAAUUUCAAGCUCACAUAAAUGUCAAAUGGUGCAAUAGGUCUAGAUCAAUCAAGUACCUAUAUAAGUAUAUCGACAAAGACGACGAUCAAGUUACAACCUUGCUCAAGGAAAGGCUCGCAGCAAAUAAAACUGACGAGAUCAAGAAAUACCUAGAGAUGAGAUACAUAUCAACAUCAGAAGCAUGCUGGAGGAUAUUCCAGUUUGAUCUUCACUAUCGUGAUCCAGCCGUUGAGAGGCUACCUUUCCAUCUUGAAAAUGAGCAGCAAGUGAUUUUUCCUGACUCGACUGAUCUUGACAAGAUAGUUACAAGGGAAGGAUCUAAAAGUACCAAGUUCACUCAAUGGAUGGAGGCAAAUAAAAUAUAUGAGCUAGGGAAAGAAUUAACGUAUGCAGAAUUCCCUACAAAAUUUGUAUGGAAACGUGAAACAAAAUGUUGGCAGAAGCGAAAAAGGGACUAUGCAAUUGGAAGAAUCUACUAUGCACAUCCUGCAAGUGGUGAGCGACAUUAUCUGAGGAUGCUUCUAAACACCAAGAAAGGAUGCACAUCAUUUGAGGACAUUAGGACCAUUGAUGGAGUCCCUCACCCAACGUACAAAUCAGCAUGCCAAGCCCUUGGAUUUCUGGAUGAUGACACUGAGUGGAUUGACUGUAUCAAUGAAGCAUCAAGUUGGGCAUCUGGAGCACAACUGCGUCAGUUAUUCACCACCAUAUUGUCCCAUUGCGAAGUCACAAACCCAAAGAUAUUGUGGGAUUCAACAUGGGAGGCAUUGUGUGAAGAUAUGCAAUACAAAAGAAGGAUUAUUCUAAACAUUCCAACGCUUCAGCUCACCAACACACAGAAACAAGCGUAUGGUCUGAUUGAGAUAGAAAAACUGAUGAGGCAAGUAGGAAAGUCAUUAAAGGAAUAUACAGAGAUAGAGCUACCAAAUGCUGCAGAGCUAGAUGAACUUGGGAACAGACUAAUAAACGAAGAGGUCAACUACGACAUGGAGAAACUCAAGGAUGAGCACAAAACCAUACUAAACAAUCUUAACCAAGACCAGAAGAAAGCCUUCGAUAAAAUAAUGGAAUCCGUCAACAAAGGGCUAGGAAAGCAGAUAUUUGUCGAAGGCUACAGUGGCACAGGAAAAACCUAUCUAUGGAAAGCACUAACGACGAAGCUAAGAUCAGAGGGAAAGAUAGUGCUUGCGGUGGCAUCAUGUGGCAUUGCAGCGUUGCUUCUCCAAGGUGGAAGAACAGCACACUCAAGGUUCCGCAUUCCACUUAAUAUAACUGAAGAAUCAACGUGUGAAAUAAAACAAGGCUCACAUUUGGCUGAACUACUAAAGAAGACCUCACUUAUAUUGUGGGACGGAGCUCCUAUGGCAAACAAACACUGCUUCGAGGCACUAGACAAAAGCCUUAGAGAUAUUCUCAGGUUCACUAACGAAAACAGCGACGAAAAGCCAUUUGGUGGAAUGACAAUUAUACUAGGAGGCGACUUCAGACAAAUCCUACCAGUUAUAACCAAAGGAAGGAGAGAACAAAUAGUUAAUGCUACAAUCAAAAGGUCAUAUCUGUGGAAACACUUCGAAAUAUUUGAGUUAACACAAAACAUGCGGCUGAAGUGUUUGUCAGAUGAUCCAAUACAAAAGCAAAAGGUCGCUGAAUUUGCAGAGUGGAUACUACAAAUUGGCGAUGGGAAAACAGCAUCAGAUGAAGGAGAGGAUUGGAUAAAAAUACCAAAGGACCUACUGCUACAGAAAGGAGAAAAUCUAAAGAACUAAUCGUCGAAAGCAUAUAUCCAAACUUGCUGCAAAAAUACCGUGAGCGGGAUUACCUAGAAGAAAGAGCAAUACUCUGUCCAAGAAAUGAUACAGUCAAGGAGAUAAACGACCACAUCAUGAGCCAAAUACAAGGUGAUGAGGUGACAUACCUAAGCCUGGACACCGUGUGCAAGGCAACGACAAACACCAAUAUCAUGAUGAACAUGCAGCCUACUGAAUUCCUAAACACCUUGACGUCCCCAGGAAUCCCAGACCAUGAGCUAAAACUCAAAGUGGGUUUGCCGGUCAUGCUCCUGCGCAACAUCAACCAAGCAGCAGGUUUAUGCAACGGUACAAGAAUGACAAUAACACAACUUGGAAACAAAUACAUCGAGACACAAAUAAUCACAGGAACACACAUCGGUGACAAGGUAUACGUACCUCGAAUAAUCAUGUCACCCAGCGACUCAAAAUGGCCAUUCGUGCUGAAAAGAAGGCAAUAUCCAUUAUCAGUGUGCUUCGCAAUGACGAUAAACAAGAGCCAAGGUCAGUCCUUAAACAAGGUAGGAAUAUAUUUGCCUAAGCAAGUGUUCCG
Molecule: long non-coding RNA, 5278 nt
Filed under: Triticum aestivum (bread wheat)
Lineage: Eukaryota; Viridiplantae; Streptophyta; Magnoliopsida; Poales; Poaceae
Description: long non-coding RNA (TAES_LNC024263)
Source: RNAcentral